GUGGGCGCAGUUCAGUACUUUCUUCAUACAAACGUAGGAGGGUGAUCACUACAUUAUUUGAUAUUGUACGCUCAAAACUAAGUAUUAUACCGAUUUGUCUUGUCAUUAUCUAGGUUUGUUGAUAUAUUAUAAAACAUUGAAAAAAUAUUGAUUUUAAAGUUGUGAACCUCGAAAGAUUCCUAUUUUAACACUAAAUUUAGGACAACUUUGUGCGUAAAUAUAAUAGAUAAGAUUAGGAGUAUGACAAUU
Long non-coding RNA from Maniola jurtina (meadow brown), 249 nucleotides. RefSeq lists it as uncharacterized. NCBI's taxonomy places the organism in Eukaryota, Metazoa, Arthropoda, Insecta, Lepidoptera, Nymphalidae. The transcript has 3 exons. The record is from RefSeq and is a predicted model, not a curated record.